Molecule: ribosomal RNA, 555 nt
Filed under: Clostridioides difficile
Lineage: Bacteria; Bacillati; Bacillota; Clostridia; Peptostreptococcales; Peptostreptococcaceae
Description: partial 23S ribosomal RNA
Rfam family: Bacterial large subunit ribosomal RNA
Source: RNAcentral
GGAGCCGUAGCGAAAGCGAGUUUUAACUGAGCGUUCAGUUACUUGACGUAGACCCGAAACCGGGCGACCUACCCAUGAGCAGGAUGAAGCGAAAGUAAAAUUUCGUGGAGGUCCGAACCCACGAGCGUUGAAAAGCUCGGGGAUGACUUGUGGGUAGCGGUGAAAUUCCAAUCGAGCCCGGAGAUAGCUGGUUCUCCCCGAAAUAGCUUUAGGGCUAGCCUCAAGGUGAGAGAUACGGAGGUAGAGCACUGAAUGUCCUAGGGGGUAUUGCACCUACCGAAGACUAUCAAACUCCGAAUGCCGUCAUCUUAUACUUGGGAGUCAGACUGUGGGUGAUAAGAUUCAUAGUCGAAAGGGCAACAGCCCAGAUCGUCAGCUAAGGUCCCUAAAUGUAAGUUAAGUGGUAAAGGAUGUGGGAUUGCACAGACAACCAGGAUGUUGGCUUAGAAGCAGCCACUCAUUCAAAGAGUGCGUAAUAGCUCACUGGUCGAGUGAUCCUGCGCCGAAGAUUUCCGGGGCUAAAACUUACUACCGAAGCUACGGCAUCAGUAAUGA